AACGCGAAAGGCCCCUUCGGGGGCCGAGUAGAGUGGCGCACGGGUGAGUAACACGUAGGUAAUUUGCCUUCGGGUGGGGAAUAACAGCCGGAAACGGCUGCUAAUACCGCAUAAUGCAGCGGCUCGACAUCGAGACAGUUGUUAAAGCGGGGGAUCGCAAGACCUCGCGCCUGAAGAGAAGCCUGCGGCGGAUUAGCUUGUUGGUAGGGUAAUGGCCUACCAAGGCGACGAUCCGUAACCGGCCUGAGAGGGCGGUCGGUCACACUGACACUGACAUACGGGUCAGACUCCUACGGGAGGCAGCAGUCGGGAAUUUUGGGCAAUGGGCGAAAGCCUGACCCAGCAACGCCGCGUGAAGGAUGAAAUCCCUCGGGAUGUAAACUUCGCAAGAAUGGGAAGAAUAAGUGCGGGCUAAUACCACGCAUGAUGACGGUACCAUUUGUAAGCUCCGGCUAACUCCGUGCCAGCAGCCGCGGUAAUACGGGGGGAGCAAGCGUUGUUCGGAUUUACUGGGCGUAAAGGGCGCGUAGGCGGUCGUGACAAGUCACUUGUGAAAUCUCCGGGCUUAACUCGGAACGGUCAAGUGAUACUGUCGGACUAGAGUGCAGAAGGGGCAACUGGAAUUCUCGGUGUAGCGGUGAAAUGCGUAGAUAUCGAGAGGAACACCUGCGGCGAAGGCGGGUUGCUGGGCUGACACUGACGCUGAGGCGCGAAAGCCAGGGGAGCGAACGGGAUUAGAUACCCCGGUAGUCCUGGCCUUAAACGAUGAAUGCUUGGUGUCUC
RNAcentral lists this ribosomal RNA (783 nucleotides) under uncultured bacterium. RNAcentral's name for it is "bacterial SSU rRNA". It matches the Rfam family "Bacterial small subunit ribosomal RNA", at positions 65 to 826 of the family's 1533-position model. The record is from RNAcentral.